Molecule: ribosomal RNA, 480 nt
Filed under: Neisseria subflava
Lineage: Bacteria; Pseudomonadati; Pseudomonadota; Betaproteobacteria; Neisseriales; Neisseriaceae
Description: bacterial SSU rRNA
Rfam family: Bacterial small subunit ribosomal RNA
Source: RNAcentral
AUUGAACGCUGGCGGCAUGCUUUACACAUGCAAGUCGGACGGCAGCACAGAGAAGCUUGCUUCUUGGGUGGCGAGUGGCGAACGGGUGAGUAAUAUAUCGGAACGUACCGAGUAAUGGGGGAUAACUAAUCGAAAGAUUAGCUAAUACCGCAUAUUCUCUGAGGAGGAAAGCAGGGGACCUUCGGGCCUUGCGUUAUUCGAGCGGCCGAUAUCUGAUUAGCUAGUUGGUGGGGUAAAGGCCUACCAAGGCAACGAUCAGUAGCGGGUCUGAGAAGAUGAUCCGCCACACUGGGACUAAGACACGGCCCAGACUCCUACGGGAGGCAGCAGUGGGGAAUUUUGGACAAUGGGCGCAAGCCUGAUCCAGCCAUACCGCGUGUCUGAAGAAGGCCUUCGGGUUGUAAAGGACUUUUGUCCAGGGAAGAAAAGGAUAGGGUUAAUACCCUGUCUGAUGACGGUACUGAAGAAUAAGCACCGCUA